UGCAUCGGCCGGGAAUCGAACCCGGUCGCCCGCGUGGCAGGCGAGCAUUCUACCACUGAACCACCGAUGC
RNAcentral lists this transfer RNA (70 nucleotides) under Cordylochernes scorpioides. Its description in RNAcentral is "tRNA-Gly". Lineage: Eukaryota; Metazoa; Arthropoda; Arachnida; Pseudoscorpiones; Chernetidae. The record is from RNAcentral.